CCAGGACUGGCUGAGCAGUGAAGUCAAGCAGCCUGUUGGAGACAGCAGCAUCCACUGAUGGAGAAGGUCACCUGAGGUUUGACCAAGUGUUUGACAGAUGCCCCUUGGUCUCUAAUCCGCCCCGGCUUAACUACCCUCAAACAGCAGCCAGAGAGAUCCGGAUUUCAUUUCCCCUGAGCCUGAUGUGAGCCUGAGAAGAGCAGUUCCAGAUCUGAUUGGAUGGUGCCAGAAUGUUCGGGAAAUAAGGAGUUAGAUGUAAACAUGAUUUAGACUCAAUGGCUGUGGGGGUUGAUUGAGAAAAUAACAGGGUGACUUUCCCAAGCAUCCAUCUGUGAAGUUUCAGCUCUCCUCCAG
This is a long non-coding RNA of Carassius auratus (goldfish), 354 nucleotides long. RefSeq lists it as uncharacterized. Lineage: Eukaryota; Metazoa; Chordata; Actinopteri; Cypriniformes; Cyprinidae. The transcript is spliced from 4 exons. The record is from RefSeq and is a predicted model, not a curated record.